This 3550-nucleotide long non-coding RNA is filed under the name Olea europaea subsp. europaea. The record is from RNAcentral. Lineage: Eukaryota; Viridiplantae; Streptophyta; Magnoliopsida; Lamiales; Oleaceae.
UCAUUCUAAUUGGCCCUUGUGGAAUAGUUACAGUACUCCACUAGAAAAUACGUCUGGUUGCAAAUACAAUAAGUCCUCCACCAUAAUUCUUGCUGAAUAUCAUUUGCAUAAAUGCAAAAAGGGAUAUUAUAAGUUUAAAAUAAAUAUUACAAUGCCAAAAUCUAUGUUACAUUGAACACAGAAGUUGGUAGCAAAAAAAUCAAAAGGAAAAAAUAAUUAGUAGACCUUCUUUUGCAUCAACAUAGAGCAAAAAUUUUUGACUUCUGGCAGCACAGCGUGCAUUGUUGGAAAAACACGAAGCAUCAAAUCUAAACCUUCCUGUUAAGUAAAAAUGUACUAUCAUGGGGUAAAAAGAUCUACACCAUAGAAAAACUAAUUUUUCUAAAACUAAAUAAUCUAAGUUUACUUUUAUUUGUCUCGUUUUCAGCAUCAAACAUUUUGUCAAAUGAGAACCAGACCUCCACUCCUUUUCCUGUUCUACAGUUCUACACUGCAAAGAUAUCAUCAUACUCAAAAUCAGUUUUUGCUUCUUUAGAUAUACAUUUGUUUAAUCUACAUUGCCAAUGAGAAAAUACCUGCAUUUUCAGGGAAUUUACACAUUUUACUAUUGAUUCAAGCUUCACAGGAUGUCUCUUUAUUGAGGCAUUGCUCUAUUCUUGACAGAAUUUGAACAAGAUCUAUCCUUGAUUACUAAUGGAUCUUCCAAAGAUUUGUUAGCUUUAUUUAUAGAUUGCUUUCCAUUUGCUGGCCUCUUUGUGCAAUUCCUUGUGCCAUUAAAAACACCAUCUAAUGAUAAUAACCUUCGACUAGACGCAAAUGUAGUUAGAGAUUGUGAGGGCAUUAGCAAUAAUGAAGCAGAAUUAACUUCUAUUUGGUAUAAAGAUCUUGAGCUCUUGUAGUAGUAAUCAACGCAUCAUUGAAUGAACCAAUCGAAUCCUCUGAAUUUGUCCGGGACGCUAUGUAAACAUCUCCCUGAGAGAGACCUUGUCUAAAAUACACAACCUGUUCCUCGAGUCAAACAACCUCAUUUUCCAAAACAGCCAAUUCAGCUAGAAGUUCUAGCUGUCUNGCUUCUUGUAUGAUCACUGGCAUCAAGGUGGAGAUCUGUUGGGCUGUGAUGCCAUUUGAUCCAGUCCAACUGUUAGGCAAUGAUGAAAAGGCCCAAAUUGGAUUUAUUACUUGGUCCAUUAAAUAUAUACCUAGAAGGCCCACUUAACCGAGCCCAAUAUCCAGCCCACACACCAUUAGUCGCUCUUGGACUGUUGGAUUGACCCGCUGAUCAACGGUUGAUGAUAUUUACUAUAAAUAUCCUCCUUACUCCCUGUUUGGCUCUUGGAUCGUCACUUUCUAUUUUUUCUUCUUUCUCUCUGCCGUUUGGAACCUUCGAGUUCCUUUGUCUGUGUGACCCUUCCUUCUUCUCUUUGUGAGGUUUCUGGUUGAUUAUCUUUGUGAUAAUCGUGUUCUUGUGUGAUUCUCCUUUGUGUGAGUGAUCAACCGAAGGUAGGCAGUUUGAUUUCUUGAGUCCAGUGAAGUGACCUUGGUGUGUUGGGUUGUGAGGGUUCGUUUUGAGUCUCGGUGCCUCUGUGAUGGUAAAUGGGUGUGGUCUGAGCCUUCGAUUGAAAGAUCUAAGCCUUGAUGUUGUGAUUUAGGGUUUAUGGUGUAAUCUGCGAUUCUAUGAUUUCAUCUAUGUUUUCUUGGAUUCAGUUGGUAAUAAGAAUGAACCUGAAUUAACUUAAAUUUGGUAUAAAGAUCUUGAGCUCUUGUAGUAGUAAUCAACGAAUCAUUGAAUGAACCGAUCGAAUCCUCUGAAUUUGUUCGGGACGCUAUGUAAACAUCUCCCUGAGAGAGACCUUGUCUAAAAUACACAACCUGUUCCUUGAGUCAAACAACCUCAUUUUCCAAAAUAGCCAAUUCAGCUAGAAGUUCUAGAGUCCACAACAUUACACCCACACAAUCACAGGUUCAUAAGAUUGAUUACAAUAAAGUAUGGUGAACCUGUCAUUAGUCUCCAAUUUCCAAUUUACUUAACAAUAAUUCCCAAUUACGCCAUUAGUCCUUUUGCCUAUGCCAAACGAAAACUAAUCAAAUCCAAUAUAGUAGUAGUAAAGGCAGAGAGACAUAUCUAGAUGAAUGUGGAAUUCAACUAAUAGGAAAUUCUCGGUACACAAUACUCGAUUACCUUCUUUAGUAUACCAAACAUGUCGAUACUUAAGUAUUUGAGGGAGAUACGGAGGAAGACAAGGUAGUGUUCCUAAGGGUCUAUAGAAAGCCCUCUCUGAAGCUCUAUGAACAUUUUCUUCAUGCCUUAAUUCAGCUUAUCAACCUGCCAAUUAGAGAAAAAGAUAAAAGUUAAAAAAAUGAAAGUUAAGCUUAAUUUUGUAAAAAUUGGAGAACUUGAGUACAUCUUAUUGUAAGGUCCAUUUCGUUGAUUUGUUGUAGCUUUCCCUAUAGUUUAUAAUUUCCUUCUCUGCAAUUUUAUCUUCAUUCCCUUCAAGGAUUUAGAUAUCAAUUCAUAAGUACAAUUGCCAAGAAAAAAUAUUAAUUUCUUGAAAGAUAAGAAUAAAUUGGGCAAAUUCUUGAUUAGUGAACAAUAUUUCCAAUUUAAAGGAGAAAAAUUUGAGAAAAAUAAUUAUAUACUUACAUUUUGAGGAUGUUGUGGUCCUUUCUUAAAAUUAUGACAUAUAACCAAUGGAUGUCAAGGAAGAUUAUUGCUGAUUAACAUAUGCAUCAAUUAACAUUCAUAACGUAAAAAUAUUUAUAACUCAUUCUAAUCAAAAUAAUCAUCCUCUGGUAAAGUAAAAUUCAACAAAUAAAAAAAAAAAAUCAACAAAUCAAACAUGUAUUCAUCAACUGACAAGAAUUUAUGAUCCCACUUAUGCAUUGCAAUGAAGAAAUCAGUAUAAAAGUUUAGAAAUCUUAAAGAUGAACUAACUUGAUUUCUCAAAAUAACCUUAAAAUCCGGUUCUUGUUCCCAAAGCCAGCCCUACCGGGAAGGAUAAUGCGGCCUUUUUUUUUCUUCUUAGAAGAACCUCUACCAGCCAGAGUUGGUCCUUCAUCUCAGCUCUUUGUGCCUAGUUUUGCAGGGCACACAGGGCCUCUGAAACUUUAGAAAUCACAGCUGCAAUAUUAGCCAUCUUCUUCUUCCCAGGAGAGUCCACCUCUGUAUGAGUUUAAUCCCAUCGGACAACUGUUGGCCAGCGACAGCAACAUUCACCUAGCCGCCACCGGACUUGACUGUCGCCUCCCAGUGGGUGAUGGCUGUCGGUAGUAAUAAACCAGCAAAAAUUACUAUAAUUUUAUGAAGAAAUAAGGCAAAUAGAGGAACUCACAUGUGAAGAGGCCACCAAACGGUUCAACUAUUAGCUUCUUCAAACAGAUCUUGCACGAAAGGUUACGACUAUGUUUAUAAAACUGAAUAAUCAAUGGCUUUUGGGGUGCCCUGGGAGAGAAAGGGAAAGGGAAAGGGAAAGGAAAAGUGAAGACGGUUUCUCUCUUGUUGACUGGCUUUUGGCUUCUCGAUUAGAGAAGGUGUAUGCGGAUAUUUAUUCAA